Long non-coding RNA from Uranotaenia lowii, 356 nucleotides. RefSeq lists it as uncharacterized. The transcript has 3 exons. The record is from RefSeq and is a predicted model, not a curated record. NCBI's taxonomy places the organism in Eukaryota, Metazoa, Arthropoda, Insecta, Diptera, Culicidae.
AUUCAUUCUCAAUCAUUCAUUUAUUGAAGUUCAAAUUAGCGGAAGCUCAAAAUGUUCGCUUCAAAGCUUAUUUUGGUGAUCGUCAUGGCGUUAGGUUUUACUUGUGCAAGUCCCAUUGGAUCCGAAAUCUCAGACCUGCAGCGAUCUUGCAUCAGUAUGUCUGGCUCCGAUACUGGUCUUUGGAAAUUUAUCGCUUCGCAUUCAGAGUUCCAGUCUUGUCGGGCAUCCAAGAUUGGCGAAAUGGACCCAACCAUUGAUAAUUCAUCGUUCAAUUCCGGAGCGAUGAAGAAACUUUGCUAUUCGCUUAACUCGUCAUUGGAAUGUUUGGAUGGAAUGGUUGAAGGGGUGGCAAUGUG